AGAUUGAACGCUGGCGGCAUGCUUUACACAUGCAAGUCGUGCGGCAGCGCGGGGGCAACCCUGGCGGCGAGCGGCGAACGGGUGAGGAAUACAUCGGAACGUACCCCGGAGUGGGGGAUAACCCAGCGAAAGUUGGACUAAUACCGCAUAUGCUCUGAGGAGGAAAGCAGGGGACUUCGCAAGAGGCCUUGCGCUCUGGGAGCGGCCGAUGUCCGAUUAGCUAGUUGGUGGGGUAAUGGCUCACCAAGGCGACGAUCCGGUAGCUGGUCUGAGAGGAUGAUCAGCCACACUGGGACUGAGACACGGCCCAGACUCCGUACGGGAGGCAGCAGUGGGAAUUUGGACUAAGUGGGGCAACCGUGAUCCAGCCAUGCCGCGUGCGGAGACGGCUUCGGUGUAACCGUCUUUAGGUACGGAAGAAAGGCGAAGGCGUU
RNAcentral lists this ribosomal RNA (434 nucleotides) under uncultured soil bacterium. Its description in RNAcentral is "bacterial SSU rRNA". It matches the Rfam family "Bacterial small subunit ribosomal RNA", at positions 26 to 462 of the family's 1533-position model. The record is from RNAcentral.